Podarcis lilfordi (Lilford's wall lizard) is the source of this 75-nucleotide non-coding RNA. The record is from the annotation of a GenBank genome assembly. NCBI's taxonomy places the organism in Eukaryota, Metazoa, Chordata, Lepidosauria, Squamata, Lacertidae.
AUCCAGGGAUAGCUCAGGUAGGAGAGCAUGAGAUUCUUUAUCUCAUGGUUGUGGGUUCAAGCCCAACGUUGGGCA